RNAcentral lists this ribosomal RNA (230 nucleotides) under uncultured bacterium. Its description in RNAcentral is "partial 16S ribosomal RNA". It matches the Rfam family "Bacterial small subunit ribosomal RNA", at positions 32 to 253 of the family's 1533-position model. The record is from RNAcentral.
AAUCAACGCUGGCGGCGUGCCUCAGACAUGCAAGUCGAACGCGAAAGUCUCCUUCGGGGGACAAGUAGAGUGGCGCACGGGUGAGUAACACGUAGGUAAUCUACCUUCGGAUGGGGAAUAACAACCGGAAACGGUUGCUAAUACCGCAUAAUGCAGCGGCACCUAAUGGUGACAGUUGUUAAAGGAGUAAUUCGCCUGGGGAGGAGCUUGCGGCAGAUUAGCUAGUUGGU